RNAcentral lists this ribosomal RNA (524 nucleotides) under uncultured Geobacillus sp. Its description in RNAcentral is "partial 16S ribosomal RNA". The record is from RNAcentral. Lineage: Bacteria; Bacillati; Bacillota; Bacilli; Caryophanales; Anoxybacillaceae.
CAUGUAGUUAGCCGGGGCUUUCUCGUGAGGUACCGUCACCGCGCCGCCCUCUUCGAACGGCACUCCUUCGUCCCUCACAACAGAGCUUUACGACCCGAAGGCCUUCUUCGCUCACGCGGCGUCGCUCCGUCAGGCUUUCGCCCAUUGCGGAAGAUUCCCUACUGCUGCCUCCCGUAGGAGUCUGGGCCGUGUCUCAGUCCCAGUGUGGCCGGUCACCCUCUCAGGCCGGCUACGCAUCGUCGCCUUGGUGAGCCGUUACCUCACCAACUAGCUAAUGCGCCGCGGGCCCAUCCGCAAGUGACAGCCCAAAGGCCGCCUUUCAACCGAAGACCAUGCGGUCUUCGGUGUUAUCCGGUAUUAGCUCCGGUUUCCCGGAGUUAUCCCGGUCUUGCGGGCAGGUUGCCCACGUGUUACUCACCCGUCCGCCGCUGACCGAAUCAAGGCAAGCCCCAAUCCGGUCCGCUCGACUUGCAUGUAUUAGGCACGCCGCCAGCGUUCGUCCUGACGCCAGGACUACAAACUCU